CCUACGGGAGGCAGCAGUGAGGAAUAUUGGUCAAUGGACGAGAGUCUGAACCAGCCAAGUAGCGUGAAGGAUGACUGCCCUAUGGGUUGUAAACUUCUUUUAUAUGGGAAUAAAAUGUUCCAUGUGUGGGAUUUUGUAUGUACCAUAUGAAUAAGGAUCGGCUAACUCCGUGCCAGCAGCCGCGGUAAUACGGAGGAUCCGAGCGUUAUCCGGAUUUAUUGGGUUUAAAGGGAGCGUAGGUGGAUUGUUAAGUCAGUUGUGAAAGUUUGCGGCUCAACCGUAAAAUUGCAGUUGAAACUGGCAGUCUUGAGUACAGUAGAGGUAGGCGGAAUUCGUGGUGUAGCGGUGAAAUGCUUAGAUAUCACGAAGAACUCCGAUUGCGAAGGCAGUUCACUGGACUGCAACUGACACUGAGGCUCGAAAGUGUGGGUAUCAAACAGGAUUAGAUACCCUUGUAGUC
Molecule: ribosomal RNA, 460 nt
Filed under: uncultured bacterium
Lineage: Bacteria
Description: partial 16S ribosomal RNA
Rfam family: Bacterial small subunit ribosomal RNA
Source: RNAcentral